CCCUUAGAUGUUCUGGGCCGCACGCGCGCUACACUGAUGCAUUCAACGAGCCUAUCCUUGACCGACAGGUCCGGGUAAUCUUUGAAUCUGCAUCGUGACGGGGAUAGAUUAUUGCAAUUAUUAAUCUUCAACGAGGAAUGCCUAGUAGGCGCAAGUCAUCAGCUUGCGUCGAUUACGUCCCUGCCCUUUGUACACACCGCCCGUCGCUCCUACCGAUUGGGUGGGCUGGUGAAAUGUUCGGAUCGGCCGUUUGUCGCGGUUUCCGCGUCAUGUGGCUGAGAAGUUCAUUAAACCCUCCCACCUAGAGGAAGGAGAAGUCGUAACA
RNAcentral lists this ribosomal RNA (325 nucleotides) under uncultured eukaryote. RNAcentral describes it as "partial 18S ribosomal RNA". It matches the Rfam family "Eukaryotic small subunit ribosomal RNA", at positions 1470 to 1796 of the family's 1831-position model. The record is from RNAcentral.